GACGAACGCUGGCGGCGUGCCUAAUACAUGCAAGUAGGACGCACAGUCUAUACCGUAGCUUGCUACACCAUAGGCUGUGAGUUGCGAACGGGUGAGUAACGCGUAGGUAACCUGCCUAUUAGAGGGGGAUAACUAUUGGAAACGAUAGCUAAUACCGCAUAACAGUAUGUAACACAUGUUAGAUGCUUGAAAGAUGCAAUUGCAUCGCUAGUAGAUGGACCUGCGUUGUAUUAGCUAGUAGGUAGGGUAAAGGCCUACCUAGGCAACGAUACAUAGCCGACCUGAGAGGGUGAUCGGCCACACUGGGACUGAGACACGGCCCAGACUCCUACGGGAGGCAGCAGUAGGGAAUCUUCGGCAAUGGGGGGAACCCUGACCGAGCAACGCCGCGUGAGUGAAGAAGGUUUUCGGAUCGUAAAGCUCUGUUGUUAAGGAAGAACGAGUGUGAGAAUGGAAAGUUCAUGCUGUGACG
RNAcentral lists this ribosomal RNA (472 nucleotides) under Streptococcus anginosus. RNAcentral describes it as "bacterial SSU rRNA". It matches the Rfam family "Bacterial small subunit ribosomal RNA", at positions 28 to 474 of the family's 1533-position model. Lineage: Bacteria; Bacillati; Bacillota; Bacilli; Lactobacillales; Streptococcaceae. The record is from RNAcentral.